GCCUAACACAUGCAAGUCGAGCGGUAACACAGAGAGCUUGCUCUCGGGUGACGAGCGGCGGACGGGUGAGUAAUGUCUGGGAAACUGCCUGAUGGAGGGGGAUAACUACUGGAAACGGUAGCUAAUACCGCAUAACGUCGCAAGACCAAAGUGGGGGACCUUCGGGCCUCAUGCCAUCAGAUGUGCCCAGAUGGGAUUAGCUAGUAGGUGGGGUAAUGGCUCACCUAGGCGACGAUCCCUAGCUGGUCUGAGAGGAUGACCAGCCACACUGGAACUGAGACACGGUCCAGACUCCUACGGGAGGCAGCAGUGGGGAAUAUUGCACAAUGGGCGCAAGCCUGAUGCAGCCAUGCCGCGUGUAUGAAGAAGGCCUUCGGGUUGUAAAGU
This 387-nucleotide ribosomal RNA is filed under the name Klebsiella aerogenes. Its description in RNAcentral is "bacterial SSU rRNA". It matches the Rfam family "Bacterial small subunit ribosomal RNA", at positions 46 to 431 of the family's 1533-position model. The record is from RNAcentral. Lineage: Bacteria; Pseudomonadati; Pseudomonadota; Gammaproteobacteria; Enterobacterales; Enterobacteriaceae.